ACUCAAGCUCGGCUUGUUAUUGGGACUUGUCGUUACAGACAGACCCGAAAGAUAAUGGCGGUGUCGAGAAUGACCCCAGGUGCAGCGAGCUCAUACAGCAUACACCGAGGCGGUUAUCUUGGCCCGGCCUUUGUUUUGUUAAAAAAACACUUCUUCUAAAGGUUGACCUCGGAUUAGGUAGGAAUACCCGCUGAACUUAA
RNAcentral lists this unclassified non-coding RNA (200 nucleotides) under soil metagenome. Its description in RNAcentral is "partial contains internal transcribed spacer 2 and large subunit ribosomal RNA". The record is from RNAcentral.